AAAAGAAACCAACAGGGAUUGCCUUAGUAACUGCGAGUGAAGCGGCAAAAGCUCAAAUUUGAAAUCUGGCGUCUUCGGCGUCCGAGUUGUAAUUUGGAGGGAUAUCUUCGGGGUUGGCGCCGUCUUAAGUUCCUUGGAACAGGACGUCAUAGAGGGUGAGAAUCCCGUGCCUGGAUGGCUGCCCAACUCCAUGUGAAGUGUCUCCGACGAGUCGAGUUGUUUG
RNAcentral lists this ribosomal RNA (223 nucleotides) under uncultured fungus. RNAcentral describes it as "partial 28S ribosomal RNA". It matches the Rfam family "Eukaryotic large subunit ribosomal RNA", at positions 57 to 276 of the family's 3401-position model. Lineage: Eukaryota; Fungi. The record is from RNAcentral.